CUUGAUUAGUUUGUUGGUGGGGUAAUGGCCUACCAAGACUGUGAUCUAUAGCUGAUCUGAGAGGAUGAUCAGCCACAUUGGGACUGAGACACGGCCCAAACUCCUACGGGAGGCAGCAGUAGGGAAUAUUGCACAAUGGAGGAAACUCUGAUGCAGCGAUGCCGCGUGAGUGAAGAAGGCCUUUGGGUUGUAAAGCUCUUUCGUCGGGGAAGAAAAUGACUGUACCCGAAUAAGAAGGUCCGGCUAACUUCGUGCCAGCAGCCGCGGUAAUACGAAGGGACCUAGCGUAGUUCGGAAUUACUGGGCUUAAAGAGUUCGUAGGUGGUUAAAAAAGUUGGUGGUGAAAUCCCAGAGCUUAACUCUGGAACUGCCAUCAAAACUUUUUAGCUAGAGUAUGAUAGAGGAAAGCAGAAUUUCUAGUGUAGAGGUGAAAUUCGUAGAUAUUAGAAAGAAUACCAAUUGCGAAGGCAGCUUUCUGGAUCAUUACUGACGCUGAGGAACGAAAGCAUGGGUAGCGAAGAGGAUUAGAUACCCUCGUAGUCCAUGCCGUAAACGAUGUGUGUUAGACGUUGGAAAUUUAUUUUCAGUGUCGCAGCGAAAGCAUUAAACACACCGCCUGGGGAGUACGACCGCAAGGUUAAAACUCAAAUGAAUUGACGGGGACCCGCACAAGUAGUGGAGCAUGUGGUUUAAUUCGAAGAUACGCGCAGAACCUUACCAACACUUGACAUGUUCGUCGCGACUCUAAGAGAUUAGAGUUUUCGGUUCGGCCGGACGAAACACAGGUGCUGCAUGGCUGUCGUCAGCUCGUGUCGUGAGAUGUA
Molecule: ribosomal RNA, 824 nt
Filed under: uncultured marine microorganism
Description: bacterial SSU rRNA
Rfam family: Bacterial small subunit ribosomal RNA
Source: RNAcentral